AGUGUCCAUUUAGCAAGGAGGAACGACUGUAAAACAUAUAUCCAACUCUCACAGCUCAUCCAGAAGGAUAACGUAAUUAAUGCUACAAAAUGCCACUUAAGAAGACAAUAAGGAUGGGACACUCUCUCUAUCCAUGUUAUGAGAU
This is a non-coding RNA of Pseudonaja textilis, 145 nucleotides long. The record is from RefSeq and is a predicted model, not a curated record. NCBI's taxonomy places the organism in Eukaryota, Metazoa, Chordata, Lepidosauria, Squamata, Elapidae.